UCCGAUAUGGUGUAGCGGUAACAUAUGUGCCUCUCAUUGCGAUCGCACGUGCCCGGGGUUCGACUCCCCGUGUCGGAA
Mycena polygramma is the source of this 78-nucleotide non-coding RNA. The record is from the annotation of a GenBank genome assembly. Lineage: Eukaryota; Fungi; Basidiomycota; Agaricomycetes; Agaricales; Mycenaceae.